GUAUGUACAUAUUUUAUUUUAUUUUUUUUAGUAAAGAUAAAAAAGAAAAAAAAAUAAAAUAAAAAUAAAAUUGCUUAAAAUAAAGUAGAUACAAACCACAGGGUAUAAACGUGUUUUAAAUUUUGAAUAGUUUAUGCAGUACAAUUUUGUACACAA
This is a small nucleolar RNA of Plasmodium malariae, 156 nucleotides long. The record is from RefSeq and is a predicted model, not a curated record. NCBI's taxonomy places the organism in Eukaryota, Apicomplexa, Aconoidasida, Haemosporida, Plasmodiidae.